Molecule: long non-coding RNA, 1214 nt
Filed under: Marmota monax (woodchuck)
Lineage: Eukaryota; Metazoa; Chordata; Mammalia; Rodentia; Sciuridae
Source: RNAcentral
UGGGAGAUGAGGAUGAGAUCCAUUCUUUGGACUCCUAACAAAGCUGCCUGGGGGAAGAAACUGUAUCUUCAAGGAGAAAGUAAAUCUGUGGGGUUUGAAAGGAAUGUGUUCCUGUCUUGUAGGUACAAAGAGGCACAUGGGUGGGCAGUGGUGUAGGGGCCUGGAAAUCUGAGAUUUACGUCCCUCUCUGACCAUCUAACACCACCCCCAAAGCAACUUAACUUGAAAAAGAGCUCAGGAGCCUGUUCUUGCUUCACCAGGGGUUGUUUGGAAGUUAAGGGAUUAUGGGGAAUGACAGGAAUAUUGGAAAACAGGAAGAAUUUUUCAGGGAGGGAGGAUUUCCCUCCCCUCCCCUCCCCUCUCCUCUCCUCUCCUUUCCUGUCUUCUCCUUCCCCUCCUCAUUCCUCUCUCUGUUAAGUUUUAUCUUCUCCCAAGACUGCUAGCUAUUCCUAAUCCCUCUUUCAAUAUUUCUUAGCCCUAUCUUUUGGAAUCUUUCUAUUUCUGGAUCUAAAAACUGUUUUGGAUCUUCACACUUUUAAUUUGGGGGUGUAGCAUUGGAUUUGUUUUCAGGGACCAUCCACAAGCACACAGGUGACCAAUUCAUCCCAGGUGGUCCAGAACUUUCUCAGGUUAGCACUGUAAAUCCCUUAUCCCAGUCCUGUUAUCCCCCUAACAAACUGAAAUGGUUGGUCACAUGAGUGGUUACUCUGGCCAUUAAGCCAGGCCCUGCUUUAGUAAAUCUUCACAUCUUCCAGGCAGAUGUCAAGAGAGCAAAAGAAAUCCAGUCCCCAGGGUCAUGCCAGGGUCACCAAAACUAAGGUUGGAAUGAACUAGGGUGACAGGGAUUGUGCUCAGAGUGCCUAGUCCUUGGUGGGAGAAGAAAGACCUUCAAGGAAGAUGGGGGUGGGGAGUAGCUUGAGAAGGGAGGCAAAGACAGCCCAGUUUCUGUCUGAAGGGCUUCGUGUUGACCCUGGAGCUCUGAGCCAAGAGCUUCUUUUUCCAAACACAGGCUUCUUCCGGUCCUGGUGUUCUAGGGCAGAAAGAGGUUCCCUAACUUCCUGUUACAUGUUCCCCAUCUCUCUCACCCACCUUGGUCAGAGAGCCCUUCCUCAACUCUGCUUUCAGUUUUUUUUUAAAUUGUUUUAGUUGUAAAUGAACACAAUACCUUUAUUUCAUUUAUUUAUGCGAUUCUGAGGAUUGAACCCAGUGCCUCA